UACAGCCAUAUUACGUUUAAACACCGAUUCUCGUACGAUCACCGAAGUUAAGCAGCGUCGAAUCUGGUUAGUACCUAGAUGGGUAACUGCUUGGGAAUACCAAGUGCUGUAAG
Non-coding RNA from Acanthosepion pharaonis, 113 nucleotides. The record is from the annotation of a GenBank genome assembly. Lineage: Eukaryota; Metazoa; Mollusca; Cephalopoda; Sepiida; Sepiidae.